GGGUCAAUGAUGAAAACUCAUACUGAGGAGAGAUGAUGAUUUAAAAAUCAUGCUCAGGAACCUUCCAGCUGGUGCCG
Molecule: small nucleolar RNA, 77 nt
Organism: Ochotona princeps (American pika)
Lineage: Eukaryota; Metazoa; Chordata; Mammalia; Lagomorpha; Ochotonidae
Gene: SNORD115
Rfam family: Small nucleolar RNA SNORD115
About the family: HBII-52 is a member of the C/D class of snoRNAs, which contain the C (UGAUGA) and D (CUGA) box motifs.
Source: Ensembl